UCACCCUUGUUACUACUGAAAGGGUGGGCCUACGCCGGCCGACUCCAUCUUGUUCUGUGUCCUCCACCUUGAGUGACUAUGUCCCGGACAUGACCCCUUUUCCGGGAAAAUCGAAGAAACCUCAGACCGCGCCUCCUCCCCUUGAGUAACCUCCCGCUCACCCGUUCAAACUUCCUGAUCAAAACACGCCCAGCGACCUGCGUAACAGGACGC
This is a long non-coding RNA of Herpailurus yagouaroundi (jaguarundi), 213 nucleotides long. RefSeq lists it as uncharacterized. The transcript is spliced from 3 exons. Lineage: Eukaryota; Metazoa; Chordata; Mammalia; Carnivora; Felidae. The record is from RefSeq and is a predicted model, not a curated record.